Molecule: long non-coding RNA, 521 nt
Organism: Anguilla anguilla (European eel)
Lineage: Eukaryota; Metazoa; Chordata; Actinopteri; Anguilliformes; Anguillidae
Exons: 2
Source: RefSeq, a predicted model, not a curated record
CCCCCACCACCCCGCCAGGUCACGUGUGGACUCUUCCAGGGAAGAUGGAUGUUGUUCUCUGUUACGCCCCCCCACCGCCCCGCCAGGUCACGUGUGGAUUCUUCCAGGGAAGAUGGAUGUUGUUGUGGAUUUCAGCUUUGACCCAUAUUCCUCUUCUCAGCGGAAAUUCCAGAGAUUUUUUUUGUCCAACGCCCCAUUUCCACGUUGCCAAACUUCUGACUAGGUUCCUUUUUUAUCAUUUGGAAACCAGUGUCUGCAACAUGCAGAGGAUGGAAUGAGAAUCUAAGAGUCUCCCAGGAGAAGGCUGAUGGUUAAAUGGUUGAGAAGGCCAACAAACCCCCUCCAAUUAGGGAUUAGUCUUGUGACAUAUCCAUAACAGCAGUCUAUUUGCAGCCAUUUUAUUUCUAUAGUACUUUUGACAGGGACAACGUCUCAAAGAUGUUUUACAGAAAAAGAAGAAAUAAAGCUGGGAAAGACAUCUACGGCGUGUCUGAACUCCUCAAAAAAAACAAAAACAGAAA